Cyprinus carpio (common carp) is the source of this 469-nucleotide long non-coding RNA. RefSeq lists it as uncharacterized. The transcript has 3 exons. NCBI's taxonomy places the organism in Eukaryota, Metazoa, Chordata, Actinopteri, Cypriniformes, Cyprinidae. The record is from RefSeq and is a predicted model, not a curated record.
UGAUUGUGGCUUAACAGACAAAAGCUGUCCAGCUCUGGCUACAGUUCUUGGAUCAGAAACUAAUCUGAAAGUGCUGAACAUGAACAAUAAUAAUCUGCAGGAUUCAGAAGUGGAGCUCCUUUGCACUGGCUUGAAAAAUAUUAAUUGCAAAUUAGAGAUACUGAGGUUAAACUGCAUCAGUAUUACAGAUGAAGGUUGUGCUGCUCUGGCAUCAGCGUUUAAUUCAAACCUCAGAGAGCUGGAUCUGAGCAGGAAUCAAAUAGGAGACUCUGGAGUGACAGAAAUCUCCAGUCUGCUGAGAAAUUCACAGACACUACAGAUACUCAGAUAUUUUCAAUGAGAAUUAAAUCUGGAGACUGAACAGGCCACUCAAGAACAUUCUAUGACUGAUCCCUGAACCAAGCAGAAGUAGAUUUGGAUGUGUACUUUGGGAUGACUGUCCUGCAGGAAAGUCCAUUGAUCAUCAGCU